AACGAACGCUGGCGGCAGGCCUAACACAUGCAAGUCGAGCGCCCCGCAAGGGGAGCGGCGGACGGGUGAGUAACGCGUGGGAAUCUUCCCCGAGGUACGGAACAACUGAGGGAAACUUCAGCUAAUACCGUAUGAUGUCGAGAGACCAAAGAUUCAUCGCCUUGGGAUGAGCCCGCGUCAGAUUAGGUAGUUGGUGGGGUAACGGCCUACCAAGCCUGCGAUCUGUAGCUGGUCUGAGAGGACGAUCAGCCACACUGGGACUGAGACACGGCCCAGACUCCUACGGGAGGCAGCAGUGGGGAAUCUUGCGCAAUGGGCGAAAGCCUGACGCAGCCAUGCCGCGUGAGUGAAGAAGGUCUUAGGAUUGUAAAGCUCUUUCGCCCGUGACGAUGAUGACGGUAACGGGAGAAGAAGCCCCGGCUAACUUCGUG
Molecule: ribosomal RNA, 431 nt
Filed under: uncultured bacterium
Lineage: Bacteria
Description: bacterial SSU rRNA
Rfam family: Bacterial small subunit ribosomal RNA
Source: RNAcentral